GAUGAACGCUGGCGGCGUGCCUAAUACAUGCAAGUCGAGCGAACGGACGAGAAGCUUGCUUCUCUGAUGUUAGCGGCGGACGGGUGAGUAACACGUGGAUAACCUGCCUAUAAGACUGGGAUAACUUCGGGAAACCGUAGCUAAUACCGGAUAAUAUUUUGAACCGCAUGGUUCAAAAGUGAAAGACGGUCUUGCUGUCACUUAUAGAUGGAUCCGCGCUGCAUUAGCUAGUUGGUAAGGUAACGGCUUACCAAGGCAACGAUGCAUAGCCGACCUGAGAGGGUGAUCGGCCACACUGGAACUGAGACACAGUCCAGACUCCUACGGGAGGCAGCAGUAGGGAAUCUUCCGCAAUGGGCGAAAGCCUGACGGAGCAACGCCGCGUGAGUGAUGAAGGUCUUCGGAUCGUAAAACUCUGUUAUUAGGGAAGAACAUAUGUGUAAGUAACUGUGCACAUCUUGACGGUACCUAAUCAGAAAGCCACGGCUAACUACGUG
Molecule: ribosomal RNA, 497 nt
Filed under: uncultured bacterium
Lineage: Bacteria
Description: partial 16S ribosomal RNA
Rfam family: Bacterial small subunit ribosomal RNA
Source: RNAcentral